AGUAGUGUGGGUGGACGAGGACAGCGGGUGGAACUGGUCCUUCUGUGACUUUGCAGCCCCGGCUUGGUGAUAAUUUUUGUGCAGGCUUCUUGACAUGGAAAGCAGAGCUCCCCAGCACAGAGUGAGCCUCCGAAGGGCUCCUGCCCUUACCGGUGCCCUACCCUCCCUUUCCCUGCUUGCUACACUUGGGUCCGGGACUCAGCCUCCCUUUGCAAGCUUCUGCUCGGCCUGUGUGCAGCUGCACUUAGCUGGCAGGGUCAGGCGUUGAGUAGCCGCUCCGCUCCUUCUGCAGCCUCCUGCAGCCCCCGCCAGCUCCCGGGCUCCAUCCCUCACCAUCAGUUGCUGAUUGGCGCCCCCUGCGUGCACAACGGAGGCUGGCUGCACCUGGAGGUUCCCAGCAAUUCCAGGCCGGCUCCAGCCUAGCCAAAGCAGCUAACUUCUCUGCUGUCUCGUGGGCUGAACCUCACCGUUUCCCAAGAGGAGCUGCCUGGCAAUGGUAGCAGGUGAAGGUCAUGGUGAAGAAGAUGCAGAUAUUGGCAAUUUGGAGCAUUAGAUGAACUAAUUACAACGUUAACCUAAGGAACAGUGCAACAGAAAAUGGGCUAAGACAUGGAGCAAGGGGCAGAACGACUCUUGAAGAUGCUGAGCAACUUCUGAAAGUUUCAACUACAGUGCUGUUCUGUGAAGGGGAAUGGGUGCUGGAGAGCUAAGCAGGAAGCAGGAGGCAGGAGGGACUGUCUGCAGCAAUCAGCAG
Molecule: long non-coding RNA, 754 nt
Filed under: Homo sapiens (human)
Lineage: Eukaryota; Metazoa; Chordata; Mammalia; Primates; Hominidae
Description: non-protein coding LINC01182:6
Source: RNAcentral